Molecule: long non-coding RNA, 14457 nt
Filed under: Populus trichocarpa (black cottonwood)
Lineage: Eukaryota; Viridiplantae; Streptophyta; Magnoliopsida; Malpighiales; Salicaceae
Description: long non-coding RNA (PTRI_LNC002290)
Source: RNAcentral
CAACUGGAACAAAAAAUCGGGACUAUCUAUUGCUUUCAUAUUCUGCAGAUCGUAGCCCAACAACAUUAACAGUACUGUAAAGGGUUUAUGAGAAAACAAUGAGUAAUCAUACAGGUGGAGGCGGCAAGUCUAGUAAAAGCCAAAAUCCAACACAGUCAUCUGAAUCCAAGUCGUUUUGGAUGGCAAGAAAAUGUAAACCUCCACAUGCCUUCUUUGCAGCUUCCCAGGCUUCAGCUUCAGCUGUUGUUACAGGAGUUUUCUUAUAGGUAGCAUAAACAUAACGGGUUGCAAUUCCAACUGAUAGAAUCAAGCAAGCACGAGAAGUGUCAGCUUCGAUCGCGACCACUUCCAGCCCGUUCAUCCACGCUGCAAUAGCAAACGAAAAGAUUCGAAUAGGUGGCUCAGUCUUACGAGCGUCACAAAGUUCUAGAAGGCAUACUUACAAUUAGAUGCACUAAAAGACCACAAGAUAGUAAGACAGGACUUCAUGGAGAUGGAAGUGGGGAAGUCUGUUAAAAAAUAAACAGUGUUCAUGGCAAUCACAUUUUUUCCCAAGGAAUAAUAAGUGCUCGUAACAAUCAUCACAGGAAUCAGAUUCUUGUAUAUUUUGAUAUACAUUGGGAUUCACCAAAAAUUAUGGAAGCAUCUGCUGUCGAUACAGCAAUUUCAGUUCCAACUCUUUAAGUGCAUAAUCAAGUAGAGAUACUAUUUCCCAAAACUCAGAAACAAGAAAAAACACACCAUGCUUCUUUCCUAUAUAAGAACGAUGGUGCAGAGCAAUGUGAUUAUCACUUAAGAUGUCAUCAGCAGGGAUAUCACGAAUGCGAUUAGGGCCCAGUGAAAGCUAACUGUAUCAAUGACAUCAUGCCCUGAAGGUCGUUUUAUCCGAUGAACAUUUUAAAAGAUUAAGAUAUGCAGCAGCUUUAUGAUCUCGGUGAAGUGAGUUUUGCACGAUUGUCCACAAAGCCAAUGUCCAUGCAUCUGAAUAGUGCAUGAAUUUCAGAACUUUCUAGUCCAUGUUCCCUUUUCUGUGAUUUUUUAAAAUUUAACCCAGUAUCUUGUACGAGGAUCAAGUUUCCCACGCCACGACAGAAUUAGAAUGCACAUGGUAUUAAUAGGACAUAACCAGACGAAUCAUUUCAAUAUACGGUCUUUGACUAUACCAAUAUUUACAUGAAAUAACAUUUCCGAGGCUACAGAAGAUGAAAUUAGAGGGAGAGUAGACCUGCUAAUGGUUCAGCACGUGAAGAUGCAACAGCAAGUCCAGGUAUCAUUGUCUUGUCAUCAAUCUCAAUUCCCAAUAAAUCCAAAUCCAGACUUGCACCAAAAAAAAAACUUGUCUCUAAUGAUGCAAUUUCCUCUCGGACAGCUGAAAGCAGGAAAAUACAUCAGCAAAGAACAGAGCAGGCUUUCAAACAAAUCAAAACAUACAGUAUUUCUAAGCUGGCAGUAUGUUAUUAGCUUCAGAAAGCAUGGCUCUUAUAGCCUAUGCCACUUUUAAAAUUUGAACUUUCGGUAAAAGUUGUGACCCGAUAGACAGUGUGACCCGAUAGACAGUCUGCAACACUAAAUUAAAAUAACCUUUACAAAUGUCAUUCAUAUGCAAGGCAGAUUUAUCUUAUGUGUCGGAUGGAGGCCAAAAUAUAGCAUUCUCAGUGUUAUAUUUGACAACAACAGUUAGUUACUUCUACCUGAGUAAGGUAAUUGGACGAAUGCCCAUUUCUCCCCAAAAAGAUUGUCUGGAAGUUCCAUUGGGAAAGGGUUAUCUAAUGCCAGAAGUGGUUUAGCUCCCUUUUGGAAACCAGGAUGACGCGUAUAUACAGUCUCAUAGCGCUCCUCGAGCCAUAGAAGUAGUGAUAUACACUGUAAAACAUAUCAAUUAUCAAAGGUGUGACUGUAGAACAUAGAAGUUCUAAUCCAAAACUCAAAUCAUACUUCAAACUAAAAUGUGGAAGAAGCUAGAGAAUCCUCAAUGCACUCCAUGACACAAGUGCAUGAAAGUAGUGUGGCAUGUUUGUGGUUUUGAGUUAUCUUAAGAACCCCCUAAAUUUCCUUUCUCAUCAAUCAGCAACCGAAAAAACUGCGAUAUUUUCUCUUGUCUAACUUGGUAAUAUGCCCAAUAUGCUUUUCGGAAGGCAGCUAAAAUAAAAGGUUUAAAGCAUAAAUAAACCUAUUAAAACAUCUAAAUUUAACCUUCAAUGGUUAUGACCAUUUCGACAUUUGAUUGAAACCACCUCAUUAAUCAUACUCGUAACACAGGAACGGAAAACAAUACCUACCCGUUUACUUGGAAUAGGCUUUAUACCUAUCUCUUUACAUGCUUUGGUUAUAAUUGUCUGCAUCUGAGACCUGUAAACCAAAAAACAAUCUUAUCAUCAAUCACGUACCACCUUUAGUAAAGACAAUCACCUAUGCAGCUGUGUCACUGUGUGUAUUUGCGCUAGUAAAUAUAUAACAGAAACAGAUAUAUAUAAUGUACAAAUUAAUUACCGUAAAAGAUCACCUGAAGAACCUGAUUCUUUCAGGCAGGGGGACACCAAGAUCCUCGCUAAUGGAUACAAUAGCAUCCUUCAAAGUGAUACUAUUGAUAACAUUGUUCGGGAAGUAUUUUGUGAAUUGAAGUGACAAAGAAUCAUCACAAACAACAAGCUCCCAUACUUUCUUGCCUCUGACAUCAAGUAUAGGCCUGGAACAAAAAUCCAACUCCCACUCCACAAUGCUAUCUGGAUCAGUUUCCGGGUCAAGAUAGACCAUUUCUGUAGUUGGAUCAUCUUCUUCGUAGUCCUUCUUUUCAGUCUCCACUUCUUCUUCUUGUGUUGAAACUGAGAGUUUGGUUAUGAUGUUUGAUUGGAAAUGGAGUGGUAUUACGUGGUUUUUUGAGGGUUUUAGAGACAAAGGGAAAGGUAUCUCUGAGGGUUUUGAGAAAGAAGUGAUUUUGGAGAUGGGUUUGUGAGGAAUUCUGGUUGGAUUGAAGCUAAGAGUAGCCAUGGUAGCUCUGUGACGAAAGAGUCGAUAAGCAUGGUGGUUCGGCAGUUAUACAUCUACCACUCGUCCGUUGGUUGUCAUGGGCCGGGCUGGGAUAAGAUUGCUGAUCCACGAUAGUACUUGGAGGUCCAUGCCCAACCUUCGACGAGUCGGUUUUUUAACUCGAGGAAUCAUAAUUCAUAAGAUUAAGACUAGUAUGAUGAUUAAAAAUAUUUAUUUUCCUUUUCAAUUUUGAUUGAUUAAAUCUAUUUAAUAAUUUUUCAUGAUUUGAAAAGUGAAUUUUAAAAUUAUUGAUACAAUAUCCAUGAUAGUAAUUAUAAGUCCAUGCCCCAUAGUUGAGGGGAGGGCGGAUUCCGAGAGAUAUAAAAAUUAUUUUUUUAAAAUGAAUAAUUAUAAUUUCAAGAGAUUAAUUUAACACUUAAAUAUAUUUAUUUUAUUUUUUAAUUUUAAUUGAUGUGAAAGUAAAUCAAUUUUGUUAUUUGAAAUGUAUAUUGUUAAUAUUUUCUGACAACAAAUUUAGUCUCAUUUGAUUGACUUGGCCGGACCGAUCUACCUUCAAUCUUCCGUCGACUUCCCCUUACCCCUUGCAAAUCUUCUUCAUCAUUAUUAAUAGCACUCUGAUGAAAUCAAAAUAUAACUCUCACUACUUUAACAGAGAUGAUAACAAUCACGUUUUUUUUUUAUAUUUUAAAGUAUUUUUUUUAUUUUUUUACUUCAAAUUUUUUUUUAUGUUCUAAGAUAAUUUUAAUAUAUAAAUAUCAAAAAUAAUUUUUAAAAAUAAAAAAUUAUUUUAAUAUAUUAAAAAAUAUAAUUUAAAAAUCAAUAAUUAUUACACUCUUAAAAACACCAGCCACUUAUGUAUCCAUUACACAAGUCUUUGGUUUAAUUUCAUUUAGUAUCUUUAUUGUUUAAUGUCAAGAAUGUCCAUCAAUAUCAAGAUCAAGGACAAUUAUAAUAAAUUUUUUAAGGAUCAAAUUGAAAGAUAUUAAAGUUUAAUGACCAAGUUAAAACAAAUUUUAAAUUUGAGUGACCUAAAAGAAGAAAUUUAUCAAGUCAACACUAGUCAUGGAUUGUGAAAAGUGAAAUAACAUUUCCUCUAGUUUCUUUGUUAAAAAUAAUGUUAAUGCUAAUUAAUUAAUAAUGGAUAAGUAAACAUUGAUUCAUAGAAUUCUACCAAGCAAUUCUAAGGUGGAUCGAGGGAAAAAAAAGAGAGGUCUAUCAAUAGAACCCACGCUACUUGCCUCAAAUAACACUUUCGUGCCCUAUAAAGCACAGAGGUCUCUCUACGGCGAAGAAUGGCGCGGGAGCCACUUUUACAGUUUCGGCGGCCGGUAUCUUCCUCUAAUGUAAACCUUAAUCUCUCUGUUACUUUCUCAUAUGUUCACUUGUGCAAAUCUAUUUGGGUGUGAGUCAGUGUAUUUAUUUCAACGUUUUGUUUCUUUCCUGUUUGAUUAAAUGCCUGUUAGAGAGUACUUUCUCUUCUUUCAUCCCCAAUUUCCUAGCACCCAGAACAGUUCAUUCUUAUGCAUUCACCAUAGCACUAAGCCCCAACAGGAAUUUAAUAGUCUAAUGGCACGAAUCCCAAGCUCGAGAUGUCUCAGAGUUCUUUCAAGUCACGUCUUUGCAAUCUAACCCGGAAUUUGAAUAGAAAAGAAAAGGAAAAAAUAUAUCAUCUAGGCUUGAAUGGAGUCGAUAAUUCAAGAAGGUGAUUAGUUUGAUAUUUCCAUAGGGAGAUUUGUAGUAGAGCAUGUCAGCUUGGUUGCUGGGUAUAAUAUAAUAUAUACGGUGAUGUAGUUUCUAUUUAAUAUGGAUAUAGGUACCUAAGAGGAGCAAGCUGUCUCUGAAUAAAGAGAGAAAGAGAUGGUGAAGUUUUCUGGGUACUCUUUGAUUUCUUCAUUUGCUCGUUUUCAUUGUAUUAUUCACAAAAAGCAACGCAGAUUUGCCAGCAUUAGAUUUAUUUUCCAACAAUUCAACCAAGUCAAGAAGAACCCUUUCUGCUUGUGCUACUAAACAUCAAUUACAUAAUAUAAACACUAACACCAAGAUGGGUGCUGAGCGAUUUUGUCCUCCUUUGUUUAGAUGCGUAUCCGCUUGUUUCAGUCUCUCUUGUUCGUUUGUUUAAUUAAGUUGAUAGAAUGAAGUUUUCUUUUUAAUUGCUUUCGAGUCAGUGAAUCAUAAACAAGAAAGAAUUAUUUUUUAUUAAUUAAAACAAGAAAGAAUACCUGUCAAUAAUAAUAAUAAUAACAACAACAGCAGCAUGAUUUAUUUUGUUACACAAUCAUUAAAUCUGUUUUGAUUGCAUGAGUUCUCUCUAACUUGACAAUUUUGCAUCAAAACCUUAGUUUGUAUUGCGUUUGUUUUUGUGUUUAAUAUAUAUAAUUUUAGAUUGUUUUGAUAUAAUAAUGUGAAAAAUAAUUUUUUUUUAAAAAAAUAAUAUUAUUUUAAUAUAUUUACAAACAAAAAAAAUAUUUUUAUAUUUCCAACUAUCCUAGCAUAUUAGACUUAACAACUAUUUAAAAAUUAAUGAUUUAAAAAUUAAUGAUUUAGUAAACAAUGAUUUUUUUCUUUUUAUAAGUAUUAGAAAUUUGAUUUUUUUUUAAAGUGAAAAUUUGUUUAGUGAUACGAGUGACCGGUCAAAAUUUAAAUAUUAAUUAUUUUUUUAAUUUUCUUAUUAAAAUAAUACCGUUUAAAUUAUUUUUCCCCCGGUUUUAAAACUAUACAUAGCAGUUAAUGACCGGUAAUUAACCACAAAAGGAUCCCACUUUUAAAAAUGCCAGUGACAAUUUUAUUGAUCGCGAGUAUAAUCCUGACCGUACACAAUCGACGCGCUACUAUAAAACGAAAUUGAAAACUUACACGCACCCGUAACCUAUCCACCAAGUACAGAAACGGAAGAUCAUUCCAUCGACAAAACCAUCUCUAUUUUCCCCAAAAAAAAAAGUCCCCAAAAUCUAAUUUUCACCUUCAACAAUUAAUUAAUAAAUAAAUAAAGGAACCACCUCUAAAUCCUCUCUCCAAAAAAUAAUCAAAACUCCUCAAUAUGGCCUUUCACGUAGCUUGCCCAAUUACAUGGUCAGUAGUGGUAUUAUCUUCACUACUAAUAACACCAAACCCCCCUUCUGUCUUUACUAUUUCUUCUCUUUUAUGUCUCUCUCGCGAGGGAGUUCUCUCUCUUUUUUACAUGGUCGACUGAUACGAUAUCUUGUUUGUUUUGGCUCUCUCUAAUUUGCAGUCGCCGAAUUUGUUUUUGCUCCCUAGGGUUUCCGCGAGAUCUCCACUCUACGAAACCAAAGGCCGACUUCCUGUUCGAUGUAGCGAGAAUCGAUGAGUUUUUGAAGGAUCCUUUGGGAAUUAGGGCUUCCAGGGAAGGAACUGUCCUGGUUUCCGUUCCUAAGGUUGUGCCUGUGCCGGCUCCGAUUCCCCCGACGCAUUCGCUAGAGGUCGUUUCGGCGAGAGAUAGAGAAGGUGAUGGUGGUGUGGGGGAGGAGGCUUUUUCAACGCAGACUAAGCGCGUGGCUAUUCAAAGGCAGGCUGCUGCUGCUAAGGCAUCUGCCGAGUAUUAUGCUAAGGUCGAGUCUGGUGAUACCGUAAGAUUUUUGUUUCCUGGUUGCUGUGAAUGAAUGUGGUCUUUAAUGUGAGGAUGUUUUUGGUUUGUUAAGGUUUUGAACUUUUUAUUUUCUUGGGAAUGGUGUGAAUUGUGAUUGUGUAGGAUAAUCCAAUGAUUGGCCACUCGAAUUUGUAUUAGUUAAAUUUUGGUUUAUUGGAUACCUGUGUUGAAUUUGGGAUUCAGGGGCGUUCUGGAUAGCUAGUUUAUUGAAUUUGAGCUGAUUUUUGGUGUCUGCAGUUGCGACUUUGAUUUUUUUUUUUUGUGAUUUGGAGGUAAAUGAUGAAAUGAUUAUCUUCUCCCAAAUGCUAUCUAUAUAAUUCAAUUAAUAGAAUAGAAGUAGUUAAUUUGACUGAAAUGUUUAGUUUGGAUUUUGAAUUGUUCUUGAGGAUUUGGAGGUGGGUUUUUGAGUUUGACCUAAUCUUGGAUUUGUUUAGACAUUAAAAAGCAUGGAAGUCAGAACAGUUGAAACUCAAAACAAUCACCAGCAUUCGCUCAUUUUCUGAAAGCAGAAUAUCUGUAACUGUUUUUUGUUCUGAUAGUUUUGUUAUUCAUUUGAGCUAGCUUAUUUAUAAUCCUGAGGGAGAUUGAAAAGAAAUUAUGAACUCUUAUAGCUUAUUCAUUAUUUGUUUGUGGAUUUGGAUGUGGGUUUUUGAAUUUGACCUAAUCUUGGAUUUGUUUAGACAUUAAAAAGUACGGAAGUCAGAGGCAGUUGAAACUCAAAACAAUUACCAGCAUUGGCUCAUUUUCUGAAUACUGAUUACUCGUAACUGUUUUUUCAUUCUCAUAUUUUUGUUACUCAUUUGAGAUAGCUUAUUUAUAAUCCCGAUGGAGAUUGAAGAAGAAAUUUAUGAACUGUUAUAGCGUAUUCAUUAUUUGUUUGUUAUCGGGCAGCAUGGUAUUGGAACCCUUUUAUUGCACAAAAACUUUCUCAUCUAGAUGCACCGGCAUGUUUCCUUAGGCACAAAUCCACAGUUGAUGAGCUAUGGAAAUCAAGUAAAAUGACUUUUGGCUGCUAUAGUGAUGACAUAUGCUAUAUCAUUUGCUAAAUACCAUCACCAUUUGUUUAAUUCAGGUUGCCUCAAAAGAUACUCCUGGAGAAGAUGCGGGUCCAUUAUGUCAGAUAUGCUUUGUGGGUGAAACAGGGGGAAGUGAGAGAGCGAGGAAGAUGCUCCCAUGCAAAAGUUGUGGCAAGAAGUACCACAGGAGCUGUUUGAAAACUUGGGCUCGGCAUAGAGGUAAAACUCAUUGGGUUAAAAACACUGAAGGCUGCUGUUUUUUUGUUUAUUCUCAUAGGUUGAUUGAUGGCAGAUUUAUUUCACUGGAGUUCGUGGACCUGUCCAUCUUGCCAAACUUGCGAGGUACUCAUUGAUAUACAUUGUUGAUUAAUUAAUGAAGUUGCAUACUUACUUUUUUUGAGGCAAGAAAUGUAGGUAAAUUCUAGAUUUCCAAAGUGGCCUUCCUACCUGGCCAUGAAUGUCAUUUUAUGCUUCUGUGCAUCUGAAUGUAGUAUCUCUUGACAACUGUAAGGCCAUGAAAUGUUAAGAGUUAGAGUGAGUUCAUUCUAUUGUUCUGUGUAUUCUAUUCCUUAAAGUCCUUCUCAAAACAGAUGAUUUAUUUAUGCUCUGCGUAGUUUCCUUGUGGUGGAAGCUUUCUGGACACACAGAACGUUUUUAAUACCUUAUCAUUGCUCUUACACUUUAUAACUUCUGCUGUCCGUAGGUAUGCCGAAAGACUGGAGAUCCAAAUAAGUUUGUGUUUUGCAAAAGGUGUGAUGGUGCUUACCACUGUUACUGCCAGCAUCCUCCACACAAGGUGAUAUGUUAAUUGCUUGUUUUUGGGUGUCAUAUCUAGAUUAUAAUGGCACUACUAACAGACAUUCCUGCAUAGUGCAGAAUGUCAGCUCUGGACCAUACUUGUGCCCCAAACAUACAAGGUGUCACAGCUGUGGAUCUUCUGUCCCAGGAAAUGGACUAAGUGUGAGGUACUGUUAUCAACAGUUAGCCUUUCCACAUAAAUAUGGUCUUUUUUUGAACAAUUGAUGCUCAGUUAUUCUUUUUAAUUCUGUGGUUACUUGCAAAAAUGUGAAAAAUGCAUAUCUUGUGCCAGUAUAUAGAUAUUUAUUGCUUUGUGACUUAUGGAAUACCUAUAUAUAUAAAUAAUGUCAUUUUUGGUAUCAGUAUCUCUUAAGCAUGCCUUUCAGCACCGUACCUUUUAAUGAGAACGCUAACCCACUUUUCAAUCCAUUAUGUUUGCAAUUUUAUAUGGUGUGUGACACCUUAUCUGAGUAUAUAUGACAAUUUGGAAAGCGAUUGUUAUGUGCAGGGGAAUCGAUUAUGAAUUUGAUGAUCUAUGCCCUUUUCGAUAGAUAUAUCUAAUUUAGACUACCCAGAUGAUCUUUAGAAUGCAAAGUAAUUGAAGCCAAAGAAAAUAAUGGAACAUGUUUUGGUAGUUAGUGGGAGGAGUUGUUUAUCGACAUGCAAUAGUUACAUUUAUAAUUCUAGUGUGAUUGUACUUUUCAACAGGGUUUAGUCUUCUUUAUUUCUUACUAUUAGCAGGUUCAUUUAUCAUAUGUUUUUAAAACAUGCAGGUGGUUUCUGGGAUACACUUGCUGUGAUGCUUGUGGAAGAUUAUUUGUGAAGGGAAAUUAUUGCCCUGUUUGCUUGAAGGUAUUGUCGACUUCAUGCUAUCUUUGGGUUGUUACAAACUUUUCAUUAAAAAAAAAAACUGUUCUAUGUUAAUUACCUACUGCUUGUAGACUGUAUUGAUCAAUCAUUAUAUUUAAAUGCUUCAUCAUCGGUCCAAAAAAAAUGUCCCAGAUGAUUUUGUUUAGUAACUUGAAAUUUAUACUUUACAAUAUGAAUGAAAUCGAUUAGAUGUCUUGGCUCAACCUUAUAGGUUUAUAGAGAUUCAGAAUCAACUCCAAUGGUUUGCUGUGAUAUAUGCCAGCGAUGGGUGCACUGUCAUUGUGAUGGCAUAAGGUUUGUCUUUCCCCUCUCAAAAUACACAGUGCUAAUGACAUGUUAGGUAUAUUCUGCUGCACAGUUUUUACUUCUUUGGAAUUUUUAAGUGACUUUUCUUGGAUGUAAAUCCUUGUUUAAUGUUCUUAUUGGAUAUCUAAUAAAGCUUUUCCUGAGCAGUUAUUUAUAGGAAGUAGUUUACACCUUUGAGAAAUCAGAUAGCUUAUUCUGAAGAAAUGUUUUGCAGUGAUGAAAAAUAUCUUCAGUUUCAAGUAGACGGAAACCUCCAGUACCAAUGUGCUACAUGUCGUGGAGAAUGCUAUCAGGUUUGUUAAUUGUGGAAAGCUCUCUCUCUGAAGCGUGUACACAUGUGGCUAGUCUUGCUUAGAUGUGGUGUGCUGGGAUGGUUUGGUUUGAACUUCUUUUCUUACUUCAGAAAUUUGGUUUGAACUUCUUUUCUUACUUCAGAAAUGUAUACUGCCAGGUAAAGGAUCUUGAAGAUGCUAUUCAAGAGCUGUGGAGGCGACGAGAUAAGGCUGAUCGAGGUUUAAUUGCAAGCUUGAGAGCCGCUGCUGGGUUGCCAGCCCAAGAAGACAUAUUUUCUAUCUCUCCUUAUUCAGAUGGUGAUGGAAAUGGUCCGGAGGCACUAAGGAAUGAUUUUGGGCAUUCUAUAAAACCCUCUCUCAAAGGGAUAGUCAGCAAGUCACCAAAGAAGAGCAAGGAUCAUGGAAAGAAACUUUGGAAUAAAAAAUAUUCCAAUAAAAAAGAUUCUUAUGCUGCUUCAAUUAGUAAGACUGUACCACUUCAGCAGGACAUUCAUUCUUGUGUACAUGAUUUGGAUGAUUACAAGAAUGAUGACACAGAGUCUCAAGCAAAAGGAGGAUUGGGUAGAUGUUCUUCUCCUGUUCCUGGAAUUGUGAAUCACACUGAAGGGACUUGCUCUAUCUAUCAGCCAGGUGGUUUGAAACACAAGUAUGUUAACGAGGUGAUGGUGAGCGAUGGAGAAAGGACAUCCAAAGUUGUUAAAAUCAAGAGUAAUAAGCCUCGUGAUUUGGAUAGUGGGUAUGAUACUGAAAAACAUGCUGGCAAGUCGAAGUCUGUUAAGGCAAAGAAAUUAGUAAUAAAUUUAGGGGCACGCAAAAUAAACAUCACUAGUCCAAAAUCUGAUGCUCAAAGCUGCCAAGGCGAACAAGAUUGGAAGGCUUCCAAUGGUAAUGAUCCAUGUGUCAUAAAACUGCUCUUAGUGCAAUUAUUAAUAUGUUCUUAUUGACAAAGCCCUUUGUUUCAUUAUUACCAUAUUUUGGUCAUUGCUAAUUUUUUUAUUGCAGUGAUUUCUCUUCAUCCUUUUGCUGAUAAAUUUUUUGGUGAUCAUAUAAAAAUGCUGAUGUUAUCAUCUUACCUACCAAUUCACUGACAUGAUUAAUUUCUGCAAUUUGCACAAGAUGCAGUUGAUCACACGGGGAAAACAAAAGGCUUGAUUAAGUUUGCAAGGAGAGAAGGGAAUUUGAUUAAGUUUGGAAAAGUAAAAGCUGAAGCUUCAAACUUCAGUCCCAAAUCUGAUGGAGGGAGUCAUGCUGAUGGAUAUGAAACCGUUCCCCUAGAUUAUGCUCGUGUUUCAUCAGCUAAAAAGAGCCUUGAAGGAAGCAGGGCGGCAGUGGGACCUGCAGGUGAAGUCACUAAAUUAAGAAGUGACAAAUUAUCUGUGGGAAAGCAAUCAGAGGUCAGGGCUGAUACGCAUACAGAAAGCAAUGAUGAAUCUGGUGACACUCCUAUAUUGCAAUCAUUACAAAAGGAUUCAAAAUUUUCUUUGAAGCUAAAGAUUAAGAAACCUAAUUUUGAAAAUCAGAGUUCUCUGAUUCCUCUUCGUGAAGAAGAAAAGAGUAACAUAAGGGGCCAAAGGUCAAAAAGGAAGAGAUCUUUGAACUUCAUGGAGAAAACGAUGUAUAAUGAAGAUGAAGGUAUGUCACAAUCACAUCUAGACAGUGAAAUGAUGGAGGCUAAUUGGAUAUUGAAAAAAUUGGGUUAUGAUGCUAUUGGAAAGAGAGUUGAAGUUCAUCAGCCAUCUGACAAUUCAUGGUGAGUUUUCGUUUUCCUUUUGGGUGAGGGAUAAAAAGGUAUGGGCCAGUUAGUACACCCAUCAUAUUUCCUGAUUGAUAUACUCCCUUUUGUCAUCCAUCUCAGCCUGCUUUAAAACAAGAAGUGACUUGUUCACGGAAACAUUUGUCAUAUCACGGAAACAAAAAAUGAGGAGGCUGGUGGUGGGGAGGGUCAAUUUGUAAAUUGGUUUUGGAGGAUUCCUCAGUGGUCUAACACAUGCAAUUCCAUCAUUUAUCUAAACCCCAUCCAUGCGCAUGCUUCUAUGUUAUAAGCUACUUGUUUGCUGCUGCUUUAUUGAGUUGAUCAUGAGCAUUAGAACUUGGAAACCUUCAUGUUCUGCUACUCUUUUGAAAUUUGGUUGAAUAUUGGCUUGAUGUUUCUUUAAUAUGUCUGAUGUCUUCUAUACCCAGGCACAAGGGAGUUGUCUCUGACAUUGUUGAAGACACAUCAAUGUUAUCUAUUACUCUAGAUGAUGAUAGAGUAAAGACCUUGGAACUUGGGAAGCAAGCAGUUCGCUUUGUUUCUCAAAAGCAAAAGAGGUCAAAAACAUGAAAGCUGAACUUAUUAUCAAAUAUUGACAAUUGCAUCUGGACUCCAGAUACUCGUCCCAUUUUAUAGUUGAAGAGGUAGUGCCCAUUCCUAAGGGCCACAGAGAAAUCAGUUGCGUAUAUGGCCUGGUGAUCUUUCAUCGGAGCAUUGUUUGCUAUGGUGCUUUUAGCAUUUAUGUGAAAUUCUUUUGUACAACUAGUGAUUAUUUUGACGGAGGGCUAUCCCUCCAGCCCCCCAUACCCCUCUCUUCAUGUGCUCAAAUGUAGCUUGCUUCCCAGUGUUUGGAACCCUGUAUCUAGCUAGGCUUCUAGAAUAACUUUGCUGGUUGAUAAUCAGUACAUGUGCGUAGGAAGUUGCGUUGCCCUUGUUAAUUGUAGUUUAGUUUACAAAGCUCCGGAACCUCUGCUUCUUCUUUUUUUUCAAAUUUAAUUUAAUAUAUGGGUGCAUGUGUAUUAUGAAAUCAAGUCCCUGGUUUUCCAAGCUUCCUGUCGUUAACAGAUGCACUGCGAACUGUAAAUUGGCUCACAGCUGGAUCGAGAAUCAGAGCUGGAUGUAUUGGAUGAUUUUACAAAGAAAAUAUGUACUUUUUACUAAAACAGAGAAAUGACCUGGAAAUUUUAAGCUGGAUGAUAAUCUUUUUUCUGAAUCGCAUUCAAAAUGGUUGCAAAUGUCAUUACCCGGUACUUUUAUGGUAGAAAUUAGCGGUUAAAAUACCACUAUUUUGGCAACAAGUGGGAGAAUGUUUCUCCAGGAAAUCCCCGAUAGUGCUCGACUCUGAUAAACUAGCAAGGAAAGCUUUUUGGGCAACUUUUGCCCUAGGCGUCGCUGCUUACCUGAACAGAGAACCACUUUUAUUCCUUUCAGAUUUUUCUACACAUGAAAACUGUUAACGCCGGAGGUAUUUUGUUACCAAAGCUUGUUCACCCUGUAAGUUAUGAGGGAAUAGGCAGUGAAAUUUUUCAACCUCUCAAUAAUGAUCCAUAUGGUUCUAAAUCAAUCAAAAUCUAUUUAAUGGCAUGAAAAUCCUAUAUUCUUAAGAUAAUCACACACACACACACACAAAAAAAAUAUUCUCCAAGAAGCUUUUGUUAUAGCAAACCUACAAGUAAAUUAUUUAAUUGUUUGACCUCUAGCAGUGUUCCACGCAUGCAUGAAUACUGAUUUUCCUGGUUUCUCCUUUACUUCUUUUUGAGUUUCAAUUAGAUUGAAACAUGUGUUUUAAGUUAAUUCAAAUUUCUUCCAAGAUGGUAGGUUUAACCCUACUUGAGCUAGGCUUAUGUGAAGGCCCACUAUGUUGGGCUUGUACUUCCAACUCCAUGUGGGCUUUUAUGGUGAUGAUCAAGGCUAUCAUGUGGGGUCACAAGCCCAUAGGAAUAUCAAAGCCUCACGCCUAGCAUGCACUAGGAUAUCUCAAAUUCGAUCUAUACUUGAGUUUUUGCAAGAGUUCUAGUGCAAGUGGUACUCUUGAAGCAAAUCCUAAUCACAUUAGGAAUUCUAGUUUCAUGGAUAAAAUUAAACUCUUGUAGAAUUCUAGUCUCGUUAGGACUCUUAUAGGAAGUACUUAAUCAUUCGUAUUAUAUAGACAUUCAAUUAUAUUUUUAUACAUGUGACCCUCUAAGCCCUAAAUCACAUUUGUAAUAAGACAACCUAUGUUCAUGUCCAGCUUUAACAAAGCUAUGCUAUGAUUAAGGAUAUUUAAUGGUAGUAUCCAUAUUGUAUAAGAUAAGUCUCACAUUAUACAGCAUGCAUGUAUCGCUAUAUAGAUUUUUAUUAAAUAAGUAAAUAUAUAAUGUAAUUAAAACAACUUGAAAAGAUAAAAGAAUGCUUUAUUAAUUUUAUUAUAUAACUAUACUGUGUUUACACCGAUAAGCUCCUAGGUUAUAACGCUCACAAUCGGGACGUUCCAUCUCAAUUUCCUCUCUUACCUUCUUCAUUUAAUGUACCUUUUCCAUUGGUAAGAAUGAAGCACUUAUCUUUAUCCAUACUCACAUGAAUAUUUAACUGGAACAAAAAAUCGGGACUUUCUAUUGCUUUCAUAUUCUGCAGAUCGUAGCCCAACAACAUUAACAGUACUGUAAAGGGUUUAUGAGAAAACAAUGAGUAAUCAUACAGGUGGAGGCGGCAAGUCUAGUAAAAGCCAAAAUCCGACACAGUCAUCUGAAUCCAAGUCGUUUUGGAUGGCAAGAAAAUGUAAACCUCCACAUGCCUUCUUUGCAGCUUCCCAGGCUUCAGCUUCAGCUGUUGUUACAGGAGUUUUCUUAU